Molecule: ribosomal RNA, 376 nt
Filed under: Salmonella enterica subsp. enterica serovar Montevideo
Lineage: Bacteria; Pseudomonadati; Pseudomonadota; Gammaproteobacteria; Enterobacterales; Enterobacteriaceae
Description: partial 23S ribosomal RNA
Rfam family: Bacterial large subunit ribosomal RNA
Source: RNAcentral
CUGGAGGUAUCAGAAGUGCGAAUGCUGACAUAAGUAACGAUAAAGCGGGUGAAAAGCCCGCUCGCCGGAAGACCAAGGGUUCCUGUCCAACGUUAAUCGGGGCAGGGUGAGUCGACCCCUAAGGCGAGGCCGAAAGGCGUAGUCGAUGGGAAACGGGUUAAUAUUCCCGUACUUGGUGUUACUGCGAAGGGGGGACGGAGAAGGCUAUGUUGGCCGGGCGACGGUUGUCCCGGUUUAAGCGUGUAGGUGUGUGUUCCAGGUAAAUCCGGUUCACUUUAACACUGAGGCGUGAUGACGAGGCACUACGGUGCUGAAGCAACAAAUGCCCUGCUUCCAGGAAAAGCCUCUAAGCAUCAGGUAACAUCAAAUCGUACCC